RNAcentral lists this unclassified non-coding RNA (361 nucleotides) under uncultured fungus. RNAcentral describes it as "partial contains 5.8S ribosomal RNA, internal transcribed spacer 2, and large subunit ribosomal RNA". The stretch from base 1 to 52 matches the Rfam family "5.8S ribosomal RNA", at positions 103 to 154 of the family's 154-position model. RNAcentral also lists the same sequence under 1 other name. Lineage: Eukaryota; Fungi. The record is from RNAcentral.
AACGCACCUUGCGCUCCUUGGUAUUCCGAGGAGCAUGCCUGUUUGAGUGUCAUCGAAUUCUCAACCAUUCUCUCUUUUCUGGGAGUAUGGCUUGGACUUGGGGGUUGCUGGCAGCACUGUCAGCUCUCCUUAAAUGUAUUAGCAAUCGAGUUGGCUAGUCUUUCGACGUACACGGCCUCGGACGUGAUAAUGAUCGUCGUGGCUGGAGCGUCUUUCCUAGACUAUGUACAUAGAUCGCUUCUAAUCUGUCGUCUAUCGAGCUUAGCUACUAGGCAGUCUUUUUGGCUGGCGAACGCAAGCGAGACAUUCACAUUCUCAGAGACUUGACCUCAAAUCAGGUAGGACUACCCGCUGAACUUAA